This is a small nucleolar RNA of Lolium rigidum, 92 nucleotides long. RefSeq annotates it as small nucleolar RNA Z266. The transcript has a single exon. Lineage: Eukaryota; Viridiplantae; Streptophyta; Magnoliopsida; Poales; Poaceae. The record is from RefSeq and is a predicted model, not a curated record.
UAUUAGCUAAACUGAUGAACCGAUUUGAUGUACGAAGUUACCUCGUGAGCUGAAAGUUUGUGAGGCAUAUAUUCCGCCCAGGCGAGCCAAUC